GACGAACGCUGGCGGCGUGCCUAAUACAUGCAAGUCGAGCGAAGUUUUUCUGGUGCUUGCACCGGAAAAACUUAGCGGCGAACGGGUGAGUAACACGUAAAGAACCUGCCUCAUAGACUGGGACAACUAUUGGAAACGAUAGCUAAUACCGGAUAACAGCAUUAACUGCAUGGUUGAUGUUUAAAAGUUGGUUUUGCUAACACUAUGAGAUGGCUUUGCGGUGCAUUAGCUAGUUGGUGGGGUAAAGGCCUACCAAGGCGACGAUGCAUAGCCGACCUGAGAGGGUGAUCGGCCACACUGGGACUGAGACACGGCCCAGACUCCUACGGGAGGCAGCAGUAGGGAAUCUUCCGCAAUGGGCGAAAGCCUGACGGAGCAACGCCGCGUGAGUGAAGAAGGAUUUCGGUUCGUAAAGCUCUGUUGUUAGGGAAGAAUGAUUGUGUAGUAACUAUACACAGUAGAGACGGUACCUAACCAGAAAGCCACGGCUAACUACGUGCCAGCAGCCGCGGUAAUACGUAGGUGGCAAGCGUUGUCCGGAAUUAUUGGGCGUAAAGCGCGCGCAGGUGGUUUAAUAAGUCUGAUGUGAAAGCCCACGGCUCAACCGUGGAGGGUCAUUGGAAACUGUUAAACUUGAGUGCAGGAGAGAAAAGUGGAAUUCCUAGUGUAGCGGUGAAAUGCGUAGAGAUUAGGAGGAACACCAGUGGCGAAGGCGGCUUUUUGGCCUGUAACUGACACUGAGGCGCGAAAGCGUGGGGAGCAAACAGG
Molecule: ribosomal RNA, 768 nt
Filed under: uncultured bacterium
Lineage: Bacteria
Also listed under: 1 other name
Description: bacterial SSU rRNA
Rfam family: Bacterial small subunit ribosomal RNA
Source: RNAcentral